This 431-nucleotide ribosomal RNA is filed under the name uncultured bacterium. RNAcentral's name for it is "bacterial SSU rRNA". It matches the Rfam family "Bacterial small subunit ribosomal RNA", at positions 30 to 454 of the family's 1533-position model. The record is from RNAcentral.
AUUGAACGCUGGCGGCAGGCCUAACACAUGCAAGUCGAGCGGCAGCGGGAAAGUAGCUUGCUACUUUUUGCCGGCGAGCGGCGGACGGGUGAGUAAUGCCUGGGAAAUUGCCCAGUCGAGGGGGAUAACAGUUGGAAACGACUGCUAAUACCGCAUACGCCCUACGGGGGAAAGCAGGGGACCUUCGGGCCUUGCGCGAUUGGAUAUGCCCAGGUGGGAUUAGCUUGUUGGUGAGGUAAUGGCUCACCAAGGCGACGAUCCCUAGCUGGUCUGAGAGGAUGAUCAGCCACACUGGAACUGAGACACGGUCCAGACUCCUACGGGAGCAGCAGUGGGGAAUAUUGCACAAUGGGGGAAACCCUGAUGCAGCCAUGCCGCGUGUGUGAAGAAGGCCUUCGGUUGUAAGCGACUUUCAGCGAGGAGGAAGGUUG